AGCAGCCGCGGUAAUUCCAGCUCCAAUAGCGUAUAUUAAAGUUGUUGCAGUUAAAAAGCUCGUAGUUGAAUUUCGGGAUCAAUAUAUCGGUCGUGCCUUGGUACGUACUGGUAUCAUUGGUUUCUCCUUUCUGACGAACCAUGAUGUCAUUAAUUUGGUGUUUUGGGGAAUUUGGACUGUUACUUUGAAAAAAUUAGAGUGUUUAAAGCAAGCUAACGCUUGAAUGCAUUAGCAUGGAAUAAUGAAAUAGGACGUUUGAUUCUAUUUUGUUGGUUUCUAGGAUCGACGUAAUGAUUAAUAGGGAUAGUUGGGGGCAUUAGUAUUCAAUUGUCAGAGGUGAAAUUCUUGGAUUUAUUGAAGACUAACUACUGCGAAAGCAUUUGCCAAGGAUGUUUUCAUUAAUCAAGAACGAAAGUUAGGGGAUCGAAGACGAUCAGAUACCGUCGUAGUCUUAACCAUAAACUAUGCCGACUAGGGAUCG
RNAcentral lists this unclassified non-coding RNA (481 nucleotides) under uncultured Glomus. Its description in RNAcentral is "SSU rRNA". It matches the Rfam family "Eukaryotic small subunit ribosomal RNA", at positions 569 to 1055 of the family's 1831-position model. Lineage: Eukaryota; Fungi; Glomeromycota; Glomeromycetes; Glomerales; Glomeraceae. The record is from RNAcentral.